Molecule: ribosomal RNA, 412 nt
Filed under: uncultured bacterium
Lineage: Bacteria
Description: bacterial SSU rRNA
Rfam family: Bacterial small subunit ribosomal RNA
Source: RNAcentral
GUGUCAGCCGCCGCGGUAAUACAGAGGGUGCAAGCGUUAAUCGGAAUUACUGGGCGUAAAGCGCGCGUAGGUGGCCAUCUAAGUCAAAUGUGAAAUCCCCGAGCUUAACUUGGGAAUUGCAUUCGAUACUGGGUGGCUAGAGUAUAGGGGAGGAAGGUAGAAUUCCAGGUGUAGCGGUGAAAUGCGUAGAGAUCUGGAGGAAUACCGAUGGCGAAGGCAGCCUUCUGGCCUAAUACUGACACUGAGGUGCGAAAGCAUGGGGAGCAAACAGGAUUAGAUACCCUGGUAGUCCAUGCCGUAAACGAUGUCUACUAGCUGUUGGGUCCUUUGAGGACUUAGUGGCGCAGCUAACGCGAUAAGUAGACCGCCUGGGGAGUACGGUCGCAAGACUAAAACUCAAAUGAAUUGACGG